Molecule: long non-coding RNA, 558 nt
Filed under: Musa acuminata (dwarf banana)
Lineage: Eukaryota; Viridiplantae; Streptophyta; Magnoliopsida; Zingiberales; Musaceae
Description: long non-coding RNA (MACU_LNC003093)
Source: RNAcentral
AAUUAUGUUCUACAUUUAUUUGCUGAUAAAACCAUCUUUCCAUAAGAUGGCACAGGAUAUUAAAUGAGUGAUGUUUCAGAAGAAUGAUGGAAACAAAAGAAGGCCAGAAACUAAUGUCAAGCUUUCAGAUUCAUGUUUGCAAAAGAAGCUAGUUCUGAAAGAUGGAAACAAAUGCCCCAAACUCAAACACUCGUGAAACAGUUUCAAGGUUGGAAGUAUAGAUAAUAUGCAUUAUUUCAAUUAAUCUCAAGUCUGCAUUGCUCAUAGAAAUGGGACUUUAUCAUCUCAAUGGAAUAAGCAGCAGCGGAAAUCUUGUCUGCAAUGUUCUGCUCUACCAUCAUGAUAAUUUCCACAUUGUACGGCAUAUCCAUCUGCAAAUCUUACCUGCCAAGCACAGGUAUUGUAUAAGCUUCUACCUAUAAUACCUUUCAGUAGACUGAAGAAUGUUGAUAGACAGUAGAACUGCAAAUCAGAUCAGUGAUCACAACCAUAUUUAACCUAGAUUCUUCUACCAAUCGGAUCAUGAGGCUGUGGCUUUUUGUCAUGGGACAUCACCAG